CCUACGGGAGGCUGCAGUGGGGAAUAUUGGACAAUGGGGGCAACCCUGAUCCAGCCAUGCCGCGUGUGUGAAGAAGGCCCUCGGGUUGUAAAGCACUUUCAGUGAGGAAGAACGCCUGGUGGUUAAUACCCAUCAGGAAAGACAUCACUCACAGAAGAAGCACCGGCUAACUCCGUGCCAGCAGCCGCGGUAAUACGGAGGGUGCGAGCGUUAAUCGGAAUUACUGGGCGUAAAGCGCGCGUAGGUGGCUUGAUAAGCCGGUUGUGAAAGCCCCGGGCUCAACCUGGGAACGGCAUCCGGAACUGUCAAGCUGGAGUGCAGGAGAGGAAGGUAGAAUUCCCGGUGUAGCGGUGAAAUGCGUAGAGAUCGGGAGGAAUACCAGUGGCGAAGGCGGCCUUCUGGACUGACACUGACACUGAGGUGCGAAAGCGUGGGUAGCAAACAGGAUUAGAUACCCCUGUAGUC
This 465-nucleotide ribosomal RNA is filed under the name Vreelandella stevensii. RNAcentral describes it as "partial 16S ribosomal RNA". It matches the Rfam family "Bacterial small subunit ribosomal RNA", at positions 338 to 795 of the family's 1533-position model. The record is from RNAcentral. Lineage: Bacteria; Pseudomonadati; Pseudomonadota; Gammaproteobacteria; Oceanospirillales; Halomonadaceae.